CGAAUUGGCCAAUGCAAAAUAAAAACAAACACAAAAAAAAACCAAAACAACAGCACUCGUUUGUUAAUCAUUUUAAGAAGCAUGAACAUGGGCCUAGUUUCUAGUUUAAGACUCCUUCUGUAUGUUUGUGUAUUACGUAAUUAACUAAUGACAAUACUACAAAACAGCAGAGAUGCAUUUUUUUUUAUAGAAAAAAGGAAAAGUCCCCGCAGAU
RNAcentral lists this long non-coding RNA (214 nucleotides) under Mytilus galloprovincialis (Mediterranean mussel). Lineage: Eukaryota; Metazoa; Mollusca; Bivalvia; Mytilida; Mytilidae. The record is from RNAcentral.